Molecule: ribosomal RNA, 378 nt
Filed under: uncultured bacterium
Lineage: Bacteria
Description: bacterial SSU rRNA
Rfam family: Bacterial small subunit ribosomal RNA
Source: RNAcentral
AUACGAAGGGAGCAAGCGUUAUUCGGAAUUACUGGGCGUAAAGGGCGUGUAGGCGGUCUGUUAAGUCAGUUGUUAAAGCCCAUGGCUUACCCAUGGAUAGGCAAUUGAUACUGGUAGACUAAGAGGGCAAGAGAGAGAAGUGGAAUUCUCGGAGUAGCGGUAAAAUGCGUAGAUCUCGAGAGGAACACCGAUGGCGAAGGCAGCUUCUUGGCUUGUACCUGACGCUGAGGCGCGAAAGCGUGGGGAGCAAACAGGAUUAGAUACCCUGGUAGUCCACGCCGUAAACGAUGAUCACUAGAUGUUGGCCCCGCUUGCGGGAUCAGUGUCACAGCUAACGCGUUAAGUGAUCCGCCUGGGGAGUACGGUCGCAAGAUUAAA